Long non-coding RNA from Capra hircus (goat), 1405 nucleotides. RefSeq lists it as uncharacterized. The record is from RefSeq and is a predicted model, not a curated record. Lineage: Eukaryota; Metazoa; Chordata; Mammalia; Artiodactyla; Bovidae. The transcript has 3 exons.
CCUGCACUUUACUCCGCUCUCACAUAACUGGUGGAAGGGGCCUACAGGUUUUUUUUCCCCAACCUCACCCUCACUGUGUUUUGCCUUCACAGACCCUCAUUCUCUUUCCAAUAAUGUCCCCAUCGAUCCUCGGCCCAGAGAUGGUCAGCCACGGUGUGAGGUUCAAGGAGAAGUUGAUCAAAAGGUCUUUGUCUCCUGUGAUUUUGGUAAAGGCCCUCUCACCCUGCAGGCCAGGAUGAAAUGCUGUUGAGAAGACAGCAGACACAUCAGUGCAUCCUGGGAGUUUGGCUUCAAAGGACAAUUGUGGCUGCCCUUUAAUUUGGACGAUGGACCCUGUACAGUGCAUCAUGCUGGAGGGAGGCGGAUGAAAAGGAAGAGGGAGAAUGACAGAGCUGUGACCGACUGCUUCAAGAAGGUCUGCAGGAGAGCCUGUCGGCUCUGUCAUCAGGCUCUCUUGGUGUGCUGGGAGAACACCAUGGGCAAGUGAGAAGGGUAGGAGAAAGUGGUAGUUCUCUCUUGGUGACAUGGACCCACCCCUGUGUGUUUGUGAAAAUGAUCCGUCAGAGGUGAGCUGUCCUGGGAGAACAAUGGCCCGGGGAUGCUCUGUGACCCUCCUUCCUCGUCCACCUCCUGGCGUCUCUCCUCACAGCACAGGCCUUUGUACUGUUGGACACGGAUUCUCACUGACCCUAAACAUGAGAGCAUCUCUGUGAUUCCACUCUCCUUCUUACUAUUCCCUCUUUCUGGAACCUUCUUUUAAAUGUCCCCAUCCUCCUUCUGGAAAUCUGUCAAUACCGCCUCUGCUGUCAGCUCCUGAGGACUCCAUCCUGAUGUCACCAUCUCUGAUGUCACAGCAGGACUGAGUGACUCUGUUGGAAAUCUUGCUUCCCCAUUAGCUGUCAGAGUCCCAUGGGGACUGGGCUCCUCCCUCCCUCCCAUCUUGCCUGAGGACCUGUCACAAGGGCCUCCACGUGUGGGUGCAAACAGGCUGCAUAGUAGGGGUACCUGGGUCAGGGGGGCUGAGGCGGCAUCUGCCGAGUUUGGGGCCUGGACGAGGGCUUCACCCUUAUUCUCCUUGCAGCAUCACAGACUACAGGCCCCCCUACAGUGAAGUCCUCGGCCACAGCCAUCAAGCACAUCACCUGGAUCCUCCCCGUGCUCCUCACCAGUUUCAUCAUAACUGUCUUCCUGGGCUGAGUCGUUUCCAGGAGCAGGAGACGGUGCUCCCAGGAAGUGUGACAAGUGCUCUGUCGGCCUUUCUCCUGCUCUUCACUUUAGAUCCAGGAGAUCAGACCCCGUGAAUCCUCAGUGUUUUCCGGUUACGAUGACACAGUAGAUGCAUCAUCUCAUGGGCUUUAUCACUUUUGACGAAAUCCUACUCAGCACUUUAAAAAAAAAAAAAAAA